RNAcentral lists this ribosomal RNA (200 nucleotides) under uncultured bacterium. RNAcentral's name for it is "partial 16S ribosomal RNA". It matches the Rfam family "Bacterial small subunit ribosomal RNA", at positions 8 to 222 of the family's 1533-position model. The record is from RNAcentral.
AGAGUUUGAUCAUGGCUCAGAAUCAACGCUGGCGGCGCGCUUAACACAUGCAAGUCGAGCGAGAAAGUGGGGCAACCCAUGAGUACAGCGGCGUACGGGUGAGUAACACGUGGGUAAUCUACCUCUGAGUGGGGAAUAACCCUGGGAAACCGGGGCUAAUACCGCAUAAGCCUGAGAAGGGAAAGCAGCAAUGCGCUGGG